Molecule: ribosomal RNA, 253 nt
Filed under: uncultured bacterium
Lineage: Bacteria
Description: partial 16S ribosomal RNA
Rfam family: Bacterial small subunit ribosomal RNA
Source: RNAcentral
UACAGAGGUGGCAAGCGUUGUUUGGAAUUACUGGGCGUAAAGGGUUUGUAGGUGGCUUGCUAAGUCAGACGUGAAAUCCCUCAGCUUAACUGGGGAACUGCGUCUGAUACUGGCGAGCUUGAGUGCAGGAGAGGAACGCGGAAUUCCAGGUGUAGCGGUGAAAUGCGUAGAUAUCUGGAGGAACACCGGUGGCGAAGGCGGCGUUCUGGACUGUAACUGACACUGAGAAACGAAAGCCAGGGUAGCAAACGGG